RNAcentral lists this ribosomal RNA (497 nucleotides) under uncultured bacterium. Its description in RNAcentral is "partial 16S ribosomal RNA". It matches the Rfam family "Bacterial small subunit ribosomal RNA", at positions 28 to 507 of the family's 1533-position model. The record is from RNAcentral.
GAUGAACGCUGGCGGCGCGCCUAAUACAUGCAAGUCGAGCGAACAGAUGAGGAGCUUGCUCCUCUGACGUUAGCGGCGGACGGGUGAGUAACACGUGGAUAACCUACCUAUAAGACUGGGAUAACUUCGGGAAACCGGAGCUAAUACCGGAUAAUAUAUUGAACCGCAUGGUUCAAUAGUGAAAGACGGUUUUGCUGUCACUUAUAGAUGGAUCCGCGCCGCAUUAGCUAGUUGGUAAGGUAACGGCUUACCAAGGCAACGAUGCGUAGCCGACCUGAGAGGGUGAUCGGCCACACUGGAACUGAGACACGGUCCAGACUCCUACGGGAGGCAGCAGUAGGGAAUCUUCCGCAAUGGGCGAAAGCCUGACGGAGCAACGCCGCAUGAGUGAUGAAGGUCUUCGGAUCGUAAAACUCUGUUAUUAGGGAAGAACAAAUGUGUAAGUAACUAUGCACGUCUUGACGGUACCUAAUCAGAAAGCCACGGCUAACUACGUG